UACAGGGGGUGCAAACGUUGCUCGGAAUUAUUGUGCGUAAAGCGCACGUAGGCGGUUUGUUAUGUCGGAUGUGAAAGCCCUUGGCUCAACUGAGGAAGUGCAUCCGAAACUGGCAAGCUAGAGUAUGUAAGAGGGUCGCGGAAUUCCCGGUGUAGAGGUGAAAUUCGUAGAUAUCGGGAGGAACACCGGUGGCGAAGGCGGAUCUCUGGGCCUUACCUGACGCUGAGGCGCGAAAGCUAGGGGAGCGAACAGG
Molecule: ribosomal RNA, 253 nt
Filed under: uncultured bacterium
Lineage: Bacteria
Description: partial 16S ribosomal RNA
Rfam family: Bacterial small subunit ribosomal RNA
Source: RNAcentral